GGGAGGCAGCAGUGGGGAAUCUUCCGCAAUGGACGAAAGUCUGACGGAGCAACGCCGCGUGAGUGAUGAAGGAUUUCGGUCUGUAAAGCUCUGUUGUUUAUGACGAAGUGCAGUGUGUGAACAAUGCAUUGCAAUGACGGUAGUAAACGAGGAAGCCACGGCUAACUACGUGCCAGCAGCCGCGGUAAUACGUAGGUGGCGAGCGUUGUCCGGAAUUAUUGGGCGUAAAGAGCAUGUAGGCGGCUUAAUAAGUCGAGCGUGAAAAUGCGGGGCUCAACCCCGUAUGGCGCUGGAAACUGUUAGGCUUGAGUGCAGGAGAGGAAAGGGGAAUUCCCAGUGUAGCGGUGAAAUGCGUAGAUAUUGGGAGGA
Molecule: ribosomal RNA, 369 nt
Filed under: uncultured bacterium
Lineage: Bacteria
Description: bacterial SSU rRNA
Rfam family: Bacterial small subunit ribosomal RNA
Source: RNAcentral